UGCAGCUGACGCCUUUUCUGUGU
RNAcentral lists this non-coding RNA (23 nucleotides) under Rattus norvegicus (Norway rat). Lineage: Eukaryota; Metazoa; Chordata; Mammalia; Rodentia; Muridae. The record is from RNAcentral.